Molecule: ribosomal RNA, 439 nt
Filed under: uncultured bacterium
Lineage: Bacteria
Description: partial 16S ribosomal RNA
Rfam family: Bacterial small subunit ribosomal RNA
Source: RNAcentral
CUACGGGAUGCAGCAGUGAGGAAUAUUGCACGAUGGGGGGAACCCUGAUGCAGCAACGCCGCGUGGAGGAUGACGCAUUUCGGUGUGUAAACUCCUUUUAUAUGUCAAGAAAAUGACGGUAGCAUAUGAAUAAGCACCGGCUAACUCCGUGCCAGCAGCCGCGGUAAUACGGAGGGUGCAAGCGUUACUCGGAAUCACUGGGCGUAAAGGACGCGUAGGCGGGUUGGAAAGUCAGGUGUGAAAUCCUACAGCUUAACUGUAGAACUGCACUUGAAACUUCUAAUCUAGAGUAUGGGAGGGGGAGGUAGAAUUAGUGGUGUAGGGGUAAAAUCCGUAGAUAUCACUAGGAAUACCUAAAGCGAAGGCGAUCUCCUGGAACAUUACUGACGCUAAGGCGUGAAAGCGUGGGGAGCAAACAGGAUUAGAUACCCGGGUAGUC